GGCCCAGCCUCCACCGCCCGCCACCCCAGGGACAGGAACGAAGACCACAGAGCCCGGCCCUCGGCUGCCCCCAGCCCACAGCCCGCGGCGGGUUACAUAACGGGCCGCGAGCCGCCGCACUCUCGCGAGACUUCCACCGCCCCCCCUCCCCUGCUCGCUCCACGUCAGAAGGAACCGGGCGGAGCGGCCAACAUGGCGGAACGCAGGCGACACAAGAAGCGGAUCCAGGUCGGGGGCCGCGGGGGGCUCGGGCGCGCUGGGACAAGGAGGGACAAGGGGAGACAUCCCAAGCGACCCGGUGCCCGGAGGCUGUUGCCGCAGGGUCGCGGCGCCGUGACGGGCCCGUGUCGGGGCGGUGCUAGCGGCCG
Molecule: long non-coding RNA, 368 nt
Filed under: Rattus norvegicus (Norway rat)
Lineage: Eukaryota; Metazoa; Chordata; Mammalia; Rodentia; Muridae
Description: long non-coding RNA NONRATT016299
Source: RNAcentral